RNAcentral lists this ribosomal RNA (253 nucleotides) under uncultured bacterium. Its description in RNAcentral is "partial 16S ribosomal RNA". It matches the Rfam family "Bacterial small subunit ribosomal RNA", at positions 524 to 776 of the family's 1533-position model. The record is from RNAcentral.
UACAGAGGGGGCAAGCGUUGUUCGGAAUUACUGGGCGUAAAGGGCGCGUAGGCGGCCUUCUAAGUCAGACGUGAAAUCCCCGGGCUCAACCCGGGAACUGCGUCUGAUACUGGAUGGCUUGAAUCCGGGAGAGGGAUGUGGAAUUCCAGGUGUAGCGGUGAAAUGCGUAGAUAUCUGGAGGAACACCGGUGGCGAAGGCGGCAUCCUGGACCGGUAUUGACGCUGAGGCGCGAAAGCCAGGGGAGCAAACGGG